RNA transcript from Prosopis cineraria, 1057 nucleotides. It is a transcript of the gene named protein disulfide isomerase-like 5-1, with no coding region annotated. NCBI's taxonomy places the organism in Eukaryota, Viridiplantae, Streptophyta, Magnoliopsida, Fabales, Fabaceae. The transcript is spliced from 5 exons. The record is from RefSeq and is a predicted model, not a curated record.
GCCCUCGGUGCUUUUCAGGGUGAGAAAUCUCGGCUGUCGGCACCACCAGGCACCGCGGAUCAGGCAUGAGAAAUCACGGUUCUUCCUUUCUUCUCCUCCUCCUUCUCGUCAAUCUAGCUUUUCAUGCUCAACCCGAGGUUAUCCCGUUAACGGCCGACACAUUCUCUGAUAAGAUCAAGGAGCAACACACUGCGUGGUUUGUGAAAUUCUGCGUUCCCUGGUGCAAGCACUGUAAGAAUCUCGGAUCGUUGUGGGAUGAGUUGGGAAAAGCGAUGGAAGGAGAAGAUGAAAUAGAGAUUGGAGAAGUAGAUUGCAGCAUAAACAAACCAGUAUGUGGCAAAGUUGAUAUUCAUUCAUAUCCCACUUUUAAGCUUUUUUAUAAUGGAGAAGAAGUUGCCAGAUACCGUGGUCCAAGGGACGUUGAAUCAUUAAAAACCUUUGUUUUGGAAGAAGCUGAAAGGGCUGCAGCGAGAGCACAACUUGACAUUGAUGAAGAAUUGUAAUAGUUUUCUAGGUAUACCCUGAAUCUCACCCCGCUGCUGGUUUCUCUCUCUCUUCUCCUGAGUCUUUCUAAUUGCACUACAUGAAGGUGCCAGAGGAUCUUGCUCGUGUGUUAGCCUUGGACUUUACCUCAACUACUGUUUGUGUACGAUAAGCAGGUUUUGGGCUUCGUUUUGUAUUAAAAAAAAAAAAAAAAAUAAGAAGAAGAAGAAGAAGUCAACUUCGGUUUUAUGUGGAGUGGCAAUUAAGAAUUGCAUUUCCUACUGCCAUAACCCAGGAUGCUACUGCUAUUCUUCACCACAUGUGCCGCAAGUCUCACAUUAUUGAUUAUCUCAGGUUUCAAGCCGAGAUAAGUGAAGAUACAUUCUGCUCUGCUCCAAUCCUCAUUAUUUAUUCAACGAAGCAGUAGUUAUUUUUGAAGAUUAGUUUGUAUUCUACCCCAUCUAGUUUGAUCCUUUGAGUUCACGAAGUUGAUGAACAUCUCGUUCACAGAGUUUCAAUAUCUGAUAUAGAUGCUGGCAAUUAACCUUGAAUCAUUCUUGAAGGAUUUCGUUUU